CGCGUAGGCGGGUUACCAAGUCAGGGGUGAAAUCUUUCGGCUCAACCGGAAAACGGCCCCUGAUACUGGUAGUCUUGAGGGAGGUAGGGGCAGGUGGAACUUCCGGUGGAGCGGUGAAAUGUGUUGAUAUCGGAAGGAACGCCGGUGGCGAAAGCGACCUGCUGGAUCUCUUCUGACGCUGAGGCGCGAAAGCUAGGGGAGCGAACG
This 207-nucleotide ribosomal RNA is filed under the name uncultured bacterium. Its description in RNAcentral is "partial 16S ribosomal RNA". It matches the Rfam family "Bacterial small subunit ribosomal RNA", at positions 568 to 774 of the family's 1533-position model. The record is from RNAcentral.